This 9594-nucleotide long non-coding RNA is filed under the name Homo sapiens (human). RNAcentral's name for it is "HSALNT0347493". The record is from RNAcentral. Lineage: Eukaryota; Metazoa; Chordata; Mammalia; Primates; Hominidae.
UUGGCCUCCCAAAUUUCUGGGAUUACAGAUGUUUGCCACUGUGCCAGUGGAAUCUUUUGAAAGGGUUGGCUUCUGUUUAGCCCUUAGGGAAGAAAGUAUAAUUCUAGUUGUGAGGGAGGGGGUAUAACAAGAGGCUUGUCUGACCUCCUAUCCUAUCAUGGCUGAGAACUCAGUUUUCAAGGUUACUCUGGGCCAAAAAGAGUUGGUUGGGGAGCUUAGGAUUUUAUUUUUAUUUCUCAGCUUUAUGUUUGGCAUUGAAGGAAACCAGAGAACUUCAUCGCCAAAUAUGCCUCUUUGACAUAAACAUUUUUGAGCUAGAGACAAUUUGGAAGCAGCAAUUAUAAAAAAGGACUCUCUGAACUUUCCUUUCUCACAUGUGUCAGGCCGUAAAAAUUCUUGUGAAAAAUAUGCAGGGGGCGCUUCUUUCACCCCUUUCUGCCUGAUUAGCUCAGAGACUGAUGCCACUCGAGGCAGAAAAAUCUGGGAGCAGACUUUACCACAUUCCCAUUGUUUUCCCACCUUUUGGGAGCCUGAAGCUGUUUAUGCCUUUGUCUUCUCACUUCUAAAUGUAUUGUUGUUUGUUAGAGAUGCUAUAUAAGCUGGGACCUUGACCCAUCAUUUUGUGAGAUACUUUUGAACUGAAGUUUCUCCUGUGUUAUGAGCACAGCACAUGUAGAUAGAAACACUUGUUUUUUUUUUCUUUCUUGUUAUUCUGCUGUUUAUUAACAGGAAACUGUCCCAGUGUAAUUGCCCGAUGGGUUCUUCUUGCCUGCUGCACAGACAAAGCCAAUGUACCAAGAAAACAGUGUUGCAGUAGAGAAAGAGUUUAAUUAUCACAGGGCCUGCCAAACAGGAGGACGAGAGUUUAUUACUCAAAUCAGCCACCCUGAAAGCUCAAAAGCUUGGAGGCUAGGAUUUUUAAGGAUACUCUGGUGGGCAGGGUCUAGGAAAUGGGCACUGCUGAUGGGUUGGGGAUAAAAUCAUAGGAGUGUUGGAACUAUAUUCAUGCUGUGAGUCGGUUUCUAGAGGGAGAUUAUGGGACUGAUUGAGUCACAGGUCUUGGAGGGUUUGGGUGGCAUCAGUUGGUCUGUCUAAAUGCAAAAGUCUGAAAAAUAUCUCAAAUGCUAGUCUUAAGUUUUACAAUGACAAUGUUUUCUAUUGGGGCGAUUAGGAAACUUACAGCAGCAAGCAAUGACUAGUUAUCAUUUAACCAUGCAUAGAUUUUAGCAGAAUUCAGGUCCCUCCCAUAAUCCUAAUCUUGUGGCCUUUCAUUAGUUUUACAAAGGAGGUUUCAGUCCCUGAGCAAGGAAGGGGUUAGUUUUGGGGAGGGACUAUUGUUAUCCUUGAUUGAAAGUUAAACUAUAAACUAAAUUCCUCCCAUGGUUAGCUUGGGUUAUUGGAAUGAGUAAGGACAGCCAGCUUGUGAGGCUAGAAGCAGGACGGGGUCAGCCAUGCUAAACUCUCUCACUGUCAUAAUCUUUGCAAAGGCAGUUUCGCCCACUACAGACUUAAAAGUUUUGUGAAAAUUAUUGCUUUCUCCCCUUCAGCUUAAUAGAAGACAGUUGGGUUUUUCAUAUUUACUUCUGUCUUCAAUCUUUAGUGCUAUCACACUUUGGAACAGAUACCCUGGGGUAACUUCAAAUCGUGGGCGCGAAAGUACUUUGGACAAAAUAAAGCACCAUCAAAAUGCUAGGUGUUUGCUAUUUCUAUAAGGGUUGCUAAAACAUGAAGUAACAGGAAAUUCCUCCUGAGGCUCAUAACCUCUCAGAAUCAAACAGACCCAGAAAUGAGAUGUUUCUUUCCUGCAAGAAUUUCAGACAGAAAUCACAUUUUCACAGAUACUUGCAUGAAAAGGGUCCAUAAUUUCACCAAACACCAAACAAAUCUGACUCCAUGCAAGACAAACUUCUGUUGUUCUACACAGAAUUCUAUGAGAUACAGUUUGGAAAAUUGCAUAUAAUCUAUACUGCAUUAAAAAAAGCUUUUACACACAUUCUUUCAACUAAUCUGUAUACCUUUGAGAGGUAGGUAGUCUGAAGCUCAGAGAGAUUAAUGGACAAAUGACUUGCCAAAUGUUGCAUAGUUUUGAUAAGCGGUGAAAUGCAGGUUUUUCUGAUUCUAAUGCAAUCACUUUGUUUAUUACAUUACUAUGCCUCUGGGUAGUUUACCUCAUGCUCAUGGGGCUCUAAAGAAGACAGUCAGAGGAAAGAUGUGUCUGAUAUGCUGCAGAGGGAGGAAGGUAUAUUGGGAAAAGUUUUAAUGUGGCUGCCAGCCCACACAGCUGUGGGAACUAUUGCCUUUAGGGAUUGUGGUGACUCGGGAGAUGAAAUGUAGGACACUAGAGCAUUAGCAGGAGGUGGAAGUUAAGGAUCUAGACAGAAACUGAAAACCAUGGUUUCAGGCUGCUAAAAACCUAACAUGAAACAAAACAGAAGAACAACAACAACAAAAUAAGGUUGCUGACCAGAACUCAACAGUGAGGGAAUUUACCUCCUGCUUCAUGCAUGCAACAUCAAAAUAGAAGAGUGACCUAUGGGAUCCAUGGAGGAGCUGCUUCCUGAAUCUGUGUAAAGUAGAUCUUGCCGUGUGGGUAACUGUGACUGCGGUGGCCAUGAAGAGGCACAACUCAGACCUCGGAUCUCCUGCUGCAGAGAACAUUGACUGACAGCCCAGCAGCUCCUGUCUGGAUCUACCACCUGUUCACAAUUCUGAAAUACAUUCAACGCACACUUUCCUACUGAGAUUUCUAAAAUGGGACUUGGAAAACAGAAAAAUACUAAAGUGGGGUACUAUCAUCUAAAUCUCCAAAAAGGUCAUUCAACUCUGAUCCCUGUUUAAAGAGAGAAAAAAGGAAUAAAGGAGCCUUUGAAGGCAGAAUAUUGCUCACUCAUCUCUUUGAAAGGACCUCAGACUGCAGAGCAGAAGAACCACUGGCUACAUCAGCUGGGGCAGAGGGGGAUGAAGAGAACAUCAUGAUGCCUGCAAAAAAGUGGGCUCUGCAGGAUCUCCAGUCACCUCCCUUCCCUUCAGAUCCAGAGCUCUCUCUGGCUAGGACCUUCCAGAGUUCCAGAAUUUUUGUUCCACCUUCCAUUGCUCACUUCUAUUACUAUUACUAAGAUAUUCACAUGGAAUUCUGUGCAAACCAUUUUUUUUUUCUUUUGGUGCCCUCUUUGUUUUACUUCCUCUAUUGGGACUAAUGGCCAUCUGACUUGGGGGUCCUUUGUUUUUUGUGACAAACCACCCUCAGCAGAUUUCCUUGAGGUCCAUUUGCUCAAGGGCCUUAAAGCUUUUUGGAGUAAUACAGAGUAAGUUUCUAGACAGCCUCUUGUGCUCUGCAGUAAGCUAAAGUGGAAGAUUAAGAUGCCUGGUGUAUACUGUGUGUUUCCCAUGUAAUGGCAGAAAAGGAAUGGGGCUCAUUAGUUACUUUAAGGUGGCAGCAGCUACCUUAGAGAAGACUGCAUUGCUUGUACUGAUUCAAAAGAGCACCUAAUGAAGGGAAAAAGCAGAAAUAAGCCAAGACUUGAGCUGAGUGAUUCGUUGAAUCAGCCAAGGAUAAUGUUCUUCAGGCACUAUGCACAUGUCACUGAUCAGUAGCGCUUCUCUUAAGCUUCAACAGCACUCACUUCCCCUGUCUUGAUGAGGUGAGCAGCACAUUUAAUUUCAGCUCCUGGGGCCAUCUGCAAACCUCUACUCCAUUCCUCAGCUGUGUUUGCUCCUCUGUUCUCAGGGAGCAGCAUUUUCACUGGAUGCAAACUGUGAGGCACUGUCUGGGCAAGCAGAUUGGUUACUAAUGAGGAAACUGGCACUGACAGCCUUUUGGGUUCUGAUUGAAGAAAAGAGAUGUCUUCGCAUCAGAAUGGUUUAACUUUCAAUGUGGCAUAUCAACUGGUUGAAAUUAGGGAGAGAGAGAAAGAGAAAUUUAAUUGUCAGGCUGUGGUGCGUAGUGUCAAAGCUACCUAGAUUAUGAGAAAUACGUCUUUUCAACAGCUUAAAGGCCACAGCUCUCAACAUUUUUUCUGCAUGUACAACACAGACAGGAUCCAGAAAUCCCAGCCUAUAACUCUUGGUUCCGUCAAAUACUCAACAGAGAAAACAGAAGUAUUUGAUUGUGGUAUUAACUAUGAAAUGUUCCCUAUUAGCCAUAUGAUUCUAUUAGCUCAGCUCAUUCCUGUUAGAUUUAUAGAAACAUUAGAGAUAAUUGGAAUUAGAAGGGCCAAGAGAGACGAUCCAAUCCCAUAUAGAGAAAAGCAAGACCCCUGCUCUCACUGAAGAAGUUUUAAAAAUAAUUAAACAACAAACAAACAAAUUGAGGCCCAGAGAGAUGAAGUAAUUUGACUGAUGUAUUCCAUCAGUGACAGACCUGGGACUGGAGCUCCAUCUCAGCUCUCAGCCCACUAAGAACCCUGUUCAUGGUGCCAUACUAGCAACCCCCUUCCUGUAGGAGUCUUUGAGAGUCAGAAUGACUUCUUGACUGAGAGGUACAUGUCUCUAGGAUAAGGACAAUUGAGGGGAUAAUGAGGAAAGAAAUAAUGUAAGUUAACUAUAUUUUGCCACAUGCCCUCCUCUCUCCAUGAAUCCAGGAUGUUGACCCAUAUCCAGCAUCCAUUGUGGGACUAAGUCUCGGACACCAAGGACUUCUAAGGAGCCUGCUCCAAUCUGAAAUGACUGUGGGGGAGCUGGCCAUUCCCCGAGCCAUUCUUGGAAUAUUGGGCCACAGGGGCCACUGGGGAGCAUGUAUAGGUAGGGGCGGCUUUGAUAUAAGCCUAGGUAUUCAAUUCUUCAUGGGACCCCCAAUGCUACCCCAAGUCUGCACCUUGAUUCCCAAAUACCCAAGAGAGACAAAAUGUCCUACUUUCUCUCUGAAGUUCUUCUAAUGUUGGAAGACCUAGGGUGGAGGCAAACCUUUCAGAGAAUUUCUGCUGGGAUUUAAAUGUAUGUCUAGCUGGCUUUAGACAUUAGAAGACUGUAAUAUGUACCUUAAUAAGUUGCCUUUCCCAUGGUGUUUGUUAUCCUCAGAAGACCCCCAUAGUGACUCUAGGAGACAAUUCUCAUAUCUUCUGAACUGUGCAUGUUCAUAGUUUUUCUGAGCAGGGUUUGCAUCUAGCAGCGAUGGAGGUAUAGGAGGUCACAGGCAACACUGCGUGCCUCACACAACAUUGUAGAUCAAGACACAGUUAAAUGGGCUGGCAAUUCUGAGUUUCUGAGUCCAGUCCCAUGACUAGUAUAGCUGUCAGAACUAGAGGGGCCAACCCUGGGAAUCUUGGAGAUGCUUUAUGAAUAUAUGAGAUUUCAGGCAUCCAAGCUCUUCUAUUUGUUUACAUGUAUUCUCAAUGUCUAUCUCCCAUUAUCAAAUCUAUUCCAAAAGUAUUUUUUCAACACUUGCUGGAGACUCUUGGAUAAAGCUAGUAAACGUGCUUUUAUUAAGCUCCAACUCUGUGCUGACCACUUAUACAUAUAUUGUCUCAGUUGCACUCAAAAUGCUAUUGUGUGUUAGGGUUCUUUCUUACAGAUUUUGAAACAGUGUCUUGGAGAGGUUAGGUGAAUUGCUCAAAAGACGCAGCAAGCACAGAGCUGUGACUUGGUCCUGUCUUAUCUGCUUUGGGGUUAUGGGUAGUUUAUCUUUAUAUGCCUAUUUUAACAGUAGACCCUCAACCACUGAAAUUGACAGGAAAAAGUAUGUGGUUGUUUUACCAAACAAACAAACAGACAAAAAACCAAACCCACCAAACCUGAAAUUUUUGGUUUGGUCAACAUUUUAAUUCAACUGUACUCAAUGUAUUAACAAUGGUGAUUUGAUAUGAUGGAUGUAAUUGAUAAUCAAUGCAGUGCCAUUUAUAGACUGCCUAAAAGUGCAUUGUACAUCAUUUUGACAACAUAUUUACCUGCAUUGUUUGGGCAAAAUGAAUUUUAAAAUUAUUUUUUGUUUCCUAAAUUUGUAUCAAUUGAAAAAAAAAAAGUCAUCUGGGUAGCAGACAGAAGUCAGCCUGGGACUACAGUGGGUCAUAACCCUGAGGAUUCAAAUGUGGGCAAUGGCAACAACAUCAGCGACUAAAGCUGUCAGUGGAGAAAAGAAGAAAGCACACGCCAGCCACCCUGCAGAACAAUGCAGUUCUUUCAGAGUCACAUAGUCCUAAAUCUGGAAACCAUCACAGCUGAGAGGAUAAGCUUUGGAACCCGAUAGUGGUCUAAAACUAGGCUCUGCCUGCCAUGGACAAACUACAAGAGACUGGGAAGUGAGUUAAACCUGAGCUAAAUCCCAGUUUCCUUCUCUGCAAAACAGGGAGUGGGGACAGUGGAAUAACACCUCCCUCAUAGAACUGUUGGGAGGCAUAAAUGACCCUCAGCACAGGGUGGUGUGUAUGGAAUGUGCAUCAUAAGUGGCAGCUAUUUUGAUAAUUACUAAACAUGAUGAAUGAUGAUAAGCGAAAUAAUAACACAGCUUUUCAACAUUUUCACUCAAUAAGUUAAAUUUAUAAUAGGCAAGCAAAGGAGUUUCCAGAAUUAAGCAUCUGAUGGGAGCUUAGACAGGUUGACUUUUACAGCUCAUUCUAACCCUGAGUGAGGGUCUGUGAUUUUAUAAGCCCUUUUAGGGUUCGAGUGCUACUUCUAAUCAAGAUCCUGGUAUCAUGUUUUUCUCCAUUACGUGGAACAAUAAUGAAUAGAUAAAUAAAAUAUAACUGGGAAAGGAGAACACAGAUUGAACACAUGCAUUUAUCUCCACUCUUGUCCAAAACCUCACAGUAAAAUAAUUUAAAAUACAUGAACCUAUAAGAACAAGAGAGGGGAGAUAUGAUGAAAGAGAAAACCAAAAUUUUGGAAGUUGGAAAAAAAUGGAAGGCUGGUUAGCCAAUUAGGGACAGUAGAAAGCUGCAUAUCUGUAAGGCACAUGCUGCCAAGAGAGAAAAGCAAGGCAAUUUGGAUGUGGAACCUCAGACAGGCUUAGAAUAGGAAACAGAUCCAUGAGUCAUGACACUGUGGUUGAGAUUUCUGCUUUAGCCAUUCCAGCGUAUGCUUGUUUUUCCCUAAAAGUCUUUACUCAUUUGUUUUCUCUCUUCCGCCCAGUGAACAUCUACUCAUUCUUCAAAACCCAGAACUGUUGUUGUUUCUUGAAAAAUGGAGAUUAUUCCAAAGUUCUUUUAGCCUUUGCAAUGUGAAGGCAUGUGUCAGGGUUGGGAGGAGUUGGGGAACAGCACCUCUUUCUUUUAACGUCCAAUUGAUUGAGGCCAAUGGGUCAUCCUGCCUCCUUCCCUAAAUAUUCCUGAGAAUGCUCAGAGAGGGCCCACAUGUUCCCUAAGUCCAUUCUGGUUACCCUGUGUGCCUUCUUGCUCUGGUCUGCUGCUCCCAGCUUCUUCACGAUCACUUGUGAUCAUUUGCUAGCCUUUUUUUAGUCCAUUUUACUCCAAAGCAAGAAUACAGUACUUGCUCCUUACUCUCCAAUGCUUACCAAUGCAACAACAAGAGGUAAUAGUAUUUAACAAAUUUUGAUACGGAGGAAAGGAAAACCUAAAAUAAGGUACCAUGUAUCACUAUUCCUGAAUUCUGUCAUCAUGUCCCUUUAAAGGCAGUGCUCUAUAGGUUCCGUCUCUCCUGUGGCCCCAGCCUGCUGCCACUGGAACAAGGGUCCAGGGUUCUUAAUGCACGGAAGUCUUCAUCUUAUCCCCCACAAAUCUACAGCCAAAAGAAGGAAAUACCCAUUGAUGACACGAUAGACAAUAUAACAGUUGACAAGAUAAUUGAUACAGCGUGCCCAAUGUGAAGAGAGAAUUUGUCACGGCUAGAGUAGUGAACCUUCUCCAGGUGAACCAUCUGCCGUUGGAAGCUUCCUUUUGUCCAGGGCUCCUGCAAGGCCAGUGAGUAGGUACUUCUAUCUACACAUGACUGAAAAAGACUUACCAAAACCAAUAUAUUCCCAAGGAUACUUUCUAAAUUCUACCCAAGGAGCAGAUGCUGCUCACAAUUCUCUAAAACAAGGUCUUUUUUUUUUCAACCCCAGAUAUAUCAAGAAUGGGACACAAUCUCCGAGGAAGAAAUUGUCAGCAUCUAUCUUGAAAAUAUCUUUGGUUUCCCAUUACAUUUCGGAUUUCUCUAGACCAUAUUUGUAGUUCCCUUUUUGGUGUUCCCAUUCUUGUAAGUUUAUAUAAACAGCAAUAAGACUAUAGCUCUUCUCACAGGAUACUUUGUUAUUUCUUAAUGGGACUGUCUGUCCUGUAGGCUAUGAGCUAUUUGAGGGCAAAGAAUAUUCUAUUCAUCUUUAUAUUCCUGGCACAUGGUAGGCACUCAGUAAUGCUGCUGCUGAAUUGAAUCGGCUGUGGGAAAAAAACAAAUGCUUCUCCUCAGUCAGCAUUUGUUUUCUAGGAUCUAUUCCAAUAUAUUUCCAACAAAAAUAUGAGAUUUAAAAGAUAGGCAGAGAGUGAAUUGAACUGAAUAUUGCACAAAAACUCCUUGUCUUUAAAGGUGGAAACAAAAUCCACCACCUUCCCAAGAUAGCUGUUCUGUCUCACAUCUUCUUGAAGCAAUGAAAUGAUGAGUACUGUGAUCAGAGAGGACCCUCAGAAAAUAAAUAAAAACCCAGCUCUACAAAUGCAGCCGUAAGCCAGGAGGAUAUGACGAAGGAUAUCAUUAUCAUCCUGAUAUUUUUAGAAGUUCUUUGGUGACAGGUCAGAUUUUUGAGAAUCAGAAAAUGAUAAAAAUAAUCUUGUUAUUCCACAAAGGAGGCUCUAUAUAUAUCAGGCCGAUUUUGAACACUGCCUGAGAAUGUUGAGAAAAUAUUUUUAAAUGUUAGUGAAAUGAUAGGCUUUGGGGGCAGACCCAGCCUCGCUUUAGAAAAAGCUUUAUCGUGGGGGGAUUGAGAGAUUUUAGUGAUGUGAGCAUUGUAAAGAAUCAGCAGUGAGUGGGUGUAAGUUUUUGUUUUCCAAUUUUCCAGAGGAGGGUCCACCUGGGAAGAAUUUCAUGAAAUUUACAGAAAUCUGAAAAUUGCUUUUGAAGCUAUUACAGGUACCUGGGGAGUCCUCCUUGGCCCCACAGGCUGACUACACUAUCCAGAUCUUAAGGGACUCUCAUCUUUCCUAACUUCUAGGUUGCAGGAUUCUGCAGAAUUACUUCUGCAGCUUCCAUUUGUAGCUAUUGCUAAGUGGACCCAUAGCUAUAUGGGAUGUGGGGCUCUGGAUUUCAGGUAGAAAUGACCCUUUGUUUAUUUGAGAUGUUUGCUUCUUUAAAUACUCAGCCAUCUGACUCUCUAAUUGUUUAGGAUUAGUCAUAAGUUAAGUAGGACAGGGAAGAUGUUAUAAAUAGUUUAUUGCAUAUCCAUUCAAGAAAUUUAGGCUAAGUUUAUAUAUUUUACCUUCUGAAAGGAGAAAGCCUGUGUGUUUAUUUAAAGCAUUGUAGAUUUUUUCUCAUUUAGAAUAUAUGAGUCUAGUAUAAAAAUUGAUUCUAGAUGAUUUAUAUGUAAGUUGCUCUUUUCUUCAUACUUAUUUUGCUACCUUUUUAUUUCAUGUUUUUUCUUAAGUAUGACUUUGAGCCUUUAAAAGUAUUUCCUUUAUGUCUCUUUUGAAUAUCAAAAACAACAUGAAUUAAAAAUAGAAGUCUACAUAUCAA